CUCUGCUUUUCCCAUCAAACAAGUAACAAAAAAAUAUAAAGCUACUGCAAAAUUGGGUUUGUUUAUUCAUCCUGAAACAAAUAAGUAACGAGAACAAUAAUUCAAUGUUAACAAGAAAAAGAAACAGGACUUUGUCAGAAUACCUGUAACAAGGAGUUUAGUAUAUUUAUGAACAAAAAAUCAAAAAGAGCAAAUAAAUAUAACAGUACACUUAAUAUAAUCACGAAACAAAUACACUUCCUAAAUACUGAACUAUAAGGUUAAACAGCCAGAAAGGACAACAAGUUUUUAGUAGAAUCACAAGAAAAGAUAUUCAAGACAAAACAACAAAGUAGAAUAACACUUAAUAUAAACACAAAACAAAUACGCUUCCUAAAUACUGAACUAUAAGGUUAAACAACCAGAAAGGACAGCAAGUUUCUAAUAGAAUCACAAGAAAAGAUAUUCAAGACAAAACAACAAAGUAGAAUAACACUUAAUAUAAACAUGAAACAAAUACACUUGCUAAAUACUGAACUAUAAGGUUAAACAACCAGAAAGGACAGCAAGUUUUUAAUAGAAUCACAAGAAAAUAUAUGCAAGACAAAACAACAAAGUAGAAUAACACUUAAUAUAAACACGAAACAAAUACACUUGCUAAAUACUGAACUAUAAGGUUAAACAACCAGAAAGGACAGCAAGUUUUUAAUAGAAUCACAAGAAAAUAUAUGCAAGACAAAACAACAAAGUAGAAUAACACUUAAUAUAAACACAAAACAAAUACACUUCCUAAAUACUGAACUAUAAGGUUAAACAACCAGAAAGGACAGCAAGUUUUUAAUAGAAUCACAAGAAAAUAUAUGCAAGACAAAACAACAAAGUAGAAUAACCUACGGAUAGAAAAAAAAAAACAGUCAUAUGAGAUAUAUAAUUUCUGGUAAAGUUCAAUGUCACUAUACACACACUAUUUUGUACUCAUGUUCUUAAGAUAGUCCUCAAGGAGGCGAGAAGCAGAAGUAAUCAAUAUAAUCUACACCACUAGAUAUAAUGAAUCCUGAAUAUCUACCCACACAUGCUGCCGACACAAGCCACUGAUAAUUGAGGUGUUUGAAAAUAGAAUUUGCAGUUCUCAGGAAAGGGAAAAGAAAAAGGAAAGCUCAGAACUUGGUAAAUCAAAUGAAUGUCUGUUUACUCAGCAGUGAUUUCAAGAUAAGGAGUAGGCAACCAAAAGAAAAUAUCAUAAAUGCUUGUACAACAGAUGACAUUUCCUCCAUUGUUGGUAAACCUCAAUAAAAACCACUUACACAGUUCGCAAGAGGGAAAAAAAAAUAAUCCAACCAAUGUCAAUGGCUGCUUACCUCUGACCCAACGAAGAUUGAUAAGGUACUUAACAGGAAACAGACGGAAAAAUAAGCCAAAACUUCAAUCACUCGAAAUUUGCAACAUACAUAUGCAGAAACAUGAUAUGCCAUGUAAAGGACCAAAAAAGGGUUAGUUUGUGGCAGAAAAUAGGCAAUGCCACUAUAACGUACUAAAUGAACAACAUAAGCAAAGAUAUUAGCCUAUGAGCUUUAAUCCAAGAAAGCGCAUUAACAAUCAACAAAGCUAAAAGACAGCAGCUAAAGAUAUACAGCCAAGAACAGUACCGUGAUACUCCAUACCAAUAGACCACUACAAAACCCCCUGGGAACCCAAAAAUCUAACAACCAGACGACUCCACUACCGAGAAAAGUGCAAAUUGCCGCAGAUUACUGAAAACUUGCCGCAAAUUGGAGACAUUUAAGACAUCAGAAAAUACAUCGCAAACGGUUCCUAUUCUAAACCGCCAUGAUCGGAACAAAAUGCACGGUGUACAGAUAAAUGGCCAUGACGGUAAACGGAAAGAAUUGAAGCUGGUUCGAUUCUAAAAGCAGAGGUCGAUCAAGGGAGACAUAUCAGAUACAGGAGUUCAGAUUUAUCUCACCAUUUCUCGUGCACUGUUCCUCCUCUGCUUCUACUGCUGCCGCCUUCGCCGCGUCGAAGCGGGG
This 2006-nucleotide long non-coding RNA is filed under the name Musa acuminata (dwarf banana). Its description in RNAcentral is "long non-coding RNA (MACU_LNC003313)". The record is from RNAcentral. Lineage: Eukaryota; Viridiplantae; Streptophyta; Magnoliopsida; Zingiberales; Musaceae.